This 2256-nucleotide ribosomal RNA is filed under the name Neisseria meningitidis. RNAcentral describes it as "bacterial LSU rRNA". It matches the Rfam family "Bacterial large subunit ribosomal RNA", at positions 1 to 2290 of the family's 2925-position model. The record is from RNAcentral. Lineage: Bacteria; Pseudomonadati; Pseudomonadota; Betaproteobacteria; Neisseriales; Neisseriaceae.
AUAGAGUCAAGUGAAUAAGUGCAUCAGGCGGAUGCCUUGGCGAUGAUAGGCGACGAAGGACGUGUAAGCCUGCGAAAAGCGCGGGGGAGCCGGCAAUAAAGCAAUGAUUCCGCGAUGUCCGAAUGGGGAAACCCACUGCAUUCUGUGCAGUAUCCUAAGUUGAAUACAUAGACUUAGAGAAGCGAACCCGGAGAACUGAACCAUCUAAGUACCCGGAGGAAAAGAAAUCAACCGAGAUUCCGCAAGUAGUGGCGAGCGAACGCGGAGGAGCCUGUACGUAAUAACUGUCGAGAUAGAAGAACAAGCUGGGAAGCUUGACCAUAGUGGGUGACAGUCCCGUAUUCGAAAUCUCAACAGCGGUACUAAGCGUACGAAAAGUAGGGCGGGACACGUGAAAUCCUGUCUGAAUAUGGGGGACCAUCCUCCAAGGCUAAAUACUCAUCAUCGACCGAUAGUGAACCAGUACCGUGAGGGAAAGGCGAAAAGAACCCCGGGAGGGGAGUGAAACAGAACCUGAAACCUGAUGCAUACAAACAGUGGGAGCGCCCUAGAGGUGUGACUGCGUACCUUUUGUAUAAUGGGUCAACGACUUACAUUCAGUAGCGAGCUUAACCGAAUAGGGGAGGCGUAGGGAAACCGAGUCUUAAUAGGGCGAUGAGUUGCUGGGUGUAGACCCGAAACCGAGUGAUCUAUCCAUGGCCAGGUUGAAGGUGCCGUAACAGGUACUGGAGGACCGAACCCACGCAUGUUGCAAAAUGCGGGGAUGAGCUGUGGAUAGGGGUGAAAGGCUAAACAAACUCGGAGAUAGCUGGUUCUCCCCGAAAACUAUUUAGGUAGUGCCUCGAGCAAGACACUGAUGGGGGUAAAGCACUGUUAUGGCUAGGGGGUUAUUGCAACUUACCAACCCAUGGCAAACUCAGAAUACCAUCAAGUGGUUCCUCGGGAGACAGACAGCGGGUGCUAACGUCCGUUGUCAAGAGGGAAACAACCCAGACCGCCAGCUAAGGUCCCCAAUGAUAGAUUAAGUGGUAAACGAAGUGGGAAGGCCCAGACAGCCAGGAUGUUGGCUUAGAAGCAGCCAUCAUUUAAAGAAAGCGUAAUAGCUCACUGGUCGAGUCGUCCUGCGCGGAAGAUGUAACGGGGCUCAAAUCUAUAACCGAAGCUGCGGAUGCCGGUUUAUCGGCAUGGUAGGGGAGCGUUCUGUAGGCCGAUGAAGGUGCAUUGUAAAGUGUGCUGGAGGUAUCAGAAGUGCGAAUGUUGACAUGAGUAGCGAUAAAGCGGGUGAAAAGCCCGCUCGCCGAAAGCCCAAGGUUUCCUGGCGCAACGUUCAUCGGCGUAGGGUGAGUCGGCCCCUAAGGCGAGGGCAGAAAUGCGUAGUCGAUGGGAAACAGGUUAAUAUUCCUGUACUUGAUUCAAAUGCGAUGUGGGGACGGAGAAGGUUAGGUUGGCAAGCUGUUGGAAUAGCUUGUUUAAGCCGGUAGGUGGAAGACUUAGGCAAAUCCGGGUCUUCUUAACACCGAGAAGUGACGACGAGUGUCUACGGACACGAAGCAACCGAUACCACGCUUCCAGGAAAAGCCACUAAGCUUCAGUUUGAAUCGAACCGUACCGCAAACCGACACAGGUGGGCAGGAUGAGAAUUCUAAGGCGCUUGAGAGAACUCAGGAGAAGGAACUCGGCAAAUUGAUACCGUAACUUCGGGAGAAGGUAUGCCCUCUAAGGUUAAGGACUUGCUCCGUAAGCCCCGGAGGGUCGCAGAGAAUAGGUGGCUGCGACUGUUUAUUAAAAACACAGCACUCUGCUAACACGAAAGUGGACGUAUAGGGUGUGACGCCUGCCCGGUGCUGGAAGGUUAAUUGAAGAUGUGAGAGCAUCGGAUCGAAGCCCCAGUAAACGGCGGCCGUAACUAUAACGGUCCUAAGGUAGCGAAAUUCCUUGUCGGGUAAGUUCCGACCCGCACGAAUGGCGUAACGAUGGCCACACUGUCUCCUCCUGAGACUCAGCGAAGUUGAAGUGGUUGUGAAGAUGCAAUCUACCCGCUGCUAGACGGAAAGACCCGUGAACCUUUACUGUAGCUUUGCAUUGGACUUUGAAGUCACUUGUGUAGGAUAGGUGGGAGGCUUAGAAGCAGAGACGCCAGUCUCUGCGGAGCCGUCCUUGAAAUACCACCCUGGUGUCUUUGAGGUUCUAACCCAGACCCGUCAUCCGGGUCGGGGACCGUGCAUGGUAGGCAGUUUGACUGGGGCGGUCUCCUCC